RNAcentral lists this non-coding RNA (31 nucleotides) under Mus musculus (house mouse). The record is from RNAcentral. Lineage: Eukaryota; Metazoa; Chordata; Mammalia; Rodentia; Muridae.
UAUGAGUUGAUUAACCAGCAUGAGACCUCCC